CUGGGAUGAUGUAGCUUAGCCAAAUCAGACACUUUUGAUGUGCUCCUUAAGGCAUUUUGUCUUUGAAGCUUUAUUCUUUAUGGGUAUUCGAGUGGCACAUUAAUGGUUUCUUGUAUACCCUUGUUCAAGCUCUAGAUUGAUUGCCCUUUUGUUGAAGCGCAUCUCUCUGAUGAUUACUUAGAGAUUGGUUUUCGCUUUCUGACCAGA
Mangifera indica (mango) is the source of this 207-nucleotide small nucleolar RNA. RefSeq annotates it as small nucleolar RNA snoR127. The record is from RefSeq and is a predicted model, not a curated record. The transcript has a single exon. Lineage: Eukaryota; Viridiplantae; Streptophyta; Magnoliopsida; Sapindales; Anacardiaceae.